RNAcentral lists this ribosomal RNA (279 nucleotides) under uncultured bacterium. RNAcentral's name for it is "partial 16S ribosomal RNA". It matches the Rfam family "Bacterial small subunit ribosomal RNA", at positions 506 to 784 of the family's 1533-position model. The record is from RNAcentral.
UGCCAGCCGCCGCGGUAAUUCGGAGGGUGCAAGCGUUGUUCGGAAUUAUUGGGCGUAAAGCGCGUGUAGGCGGUUCGUUAAGUCUGAUGUGAAAGCCCGGGGCUCAACCCCGGAAGUGCAUUGGAAACUGGCGAACUUGAGUACGGGAGAGGAAAGUGGAAUUCCGAGUGUAGGGGUGAAAUCCGUAGAUAUUCGGAGGAACACCAGUGGCGAAGGCGGAUCUCUGGGGAUGUACUGACGCUCAGGGUCGAAAGCAUGGGGAGCAAACAGGAUUAGAUA